GUUCAUUUGCUUGAGAGUCCCCUUAAAUAUGGAAUAUAGACGAGUGUGGCUUUUUCUAAGCCUUAGCACGCUUGUAUUCCCUCUACAAAAGGGCAAAUUGAGUCACGAUUUAGGUCUCCCCGUACCCAAUAUGCAUACAUUCCCUAGGUUCAUGCAUCCACUCCACCAUUUUAUACCCUCAUCACACUUUCAUUUUUCCUCCCAUUUUGCACACGUACACCUUUAUGUUUCUUCAUUUGCACACGUGCAUCUCUUUAUCCCUUCACUUGCACACUAACACUUUUUUCAUCACUUGCACACAUACUUCAUAUUACAUUGCACAUACCAUACCUUGCCCACUCACGUGCACAUUUUCACUUAUGCAUCUUUGUUUUUUAUUACUUUUUCAAACUCAUGCCUUCACAUUGCAUACAUGCAUUCCUUCAUUUGCAUCCACUCGCAUUAUUCGUGACUUCUUCAAAGGAUCGUUAUUGGGCUUCACAAUUAAUGUGAGUGGCACCACUCAACCUUUGAAGGAAAUUUCCCCCAAUACCCCUAGGUCUAGGGUUUGCAUUCAUGUAGUGCAUCCAAAUGUAAUAAAUUCUUUGGUUAAAACAAGAAAAUCUUUGAUUAAAUCACGCAACUAGCCUUGGCUAGGUCAAGGGGUGCCUUGGAUUUUUAUCCUUGCCUUCCCCUUCGUCAAAUGUGACUCCCGAACCUUUUUCUUUGUUUGCGUGGACUAGGAGUCGUUCAAAAGGGUUUCUUACUUUUUUCCUUAAAAAAUUCACUUUUUGGGUGACUUGGUACACCCUAACUCUAUACCAAGUGGCGACUCCAUUUUUCAUAUAAAAAACCCUUUUUGACUAUUUUUCUUGGGUCAAAUCGUCGCAUUUUCAAAAGUCCCAUUUAGACCCAUUUUUCUUUUAAAUCACGAUUCAUUUUCCAAUCACAAAAAAAAAAAACACAUUUUCAAACCAUUCAUUUAUUUAUCAAAAAAUGGGGCGCGACAGUUGGCGACUCCACUGGGGACAUUCGAGAGUCCGAGCAAAUUUGAUUUAAUCAAUCUUUUCUUCUUUUAAUCUUUUCAUAUAUCACAUUUGGUGUUUAGGGUUGCAUUUUUCCUUUUUUAGGAUUUUGCAUCACUCGCGUCUCAAAUUACUCCUCGCCACGAAUGUAUGAUUGGUUGAUUGGAUGUAUGUUUAUUAUUAUCUCGCGCUUGCAUUGCAUUUGGGGGGUGUCACCUUUAGAGCCUUGCGUGGUUCUCAACCCCUUCCCUCAAAAUAGGGAACACUUCAUACGUGCACGUUUACUUAUUGUUAUCCCAUUUUAUUUUAUUUUUCGUGGGCGCUAUCCCACACCGCCUUGUAGGAUUAGGAUCGAUCGCCUUGGGUAGGCGGCUGGUGUGCGCUGCGCCCAUAGCGCUACCUAAGGGAUCACUCGAGCCACCGAUCGAAGGCCUUGGGAGUGAUGACCCUUUGCUUUAGGUCUGAAGGCUUGGGAGCCGAAGCCUUAUCGAGUCUAGUUGCAUUAGUUAGCCCCAGCCUCAUGCAUCCAUGUUAGCAUUUUCCUAGGUUAGAGUCAGCCUCACCCUCUUUAAGCACAUUAGGCACGAGGGAAGGGGUUCCACCCUUUUACUUGCUUUUAUUGUAUUUCUUUUCUUAAUUGCUCCUAAUGUGUUAUGUGAACUAUCAAUUGCACUAACCAUUCUUUUGUUUUCUUGGAUUGCAUUCAUGGGCCUUAGCAAUAAGAGGCCUUUUGGCACUCUUUAGUGACUUACCUACUAGAUAACUCACAUGUUUAAAUUUCAGUCAUUACACUUAAUUUUCAGUAAGUACAUUUUUUCAUUUUUAGACCUUUUUCCCCCCGAUGCAUUAUUUAUGUCCUUUAGGCCAUAUUUGUGACAUAUUUACAUCGCUUUAAUAAAUGGCAUCAUGCAUCCACCUUAGAAGGGAAUGCCACAUAGGGAAUCCCGUUUUAGAAAUCAGCCAUGUCUCGGAUAUAUAAUCCAAUGAGACUUGCACGUUUACCUUUCUCGUACCAUCCAAAGGGGUAGUGCACAAGGUAAGGUAGGAUCCGAUCAUUUUUCAUAAAGCGAUCCUUGGAAUAUGAGCAUCUAAUAAUCGCUUUUUGGCCAUUUUUUAAACCUAACUGGUAAAAAUCCCUUGCGUAAAGGACAUUAAUUUGAAGAAAUUCACAAAUGAUUCCUCCUUUUUGAGACGAUAAAUAAACUGAGGCCAAAUCGUGAUUUUAGAAGGCUCAUAGACUAAUUUUUUGAAACCAUCAAUGGCGGAACGAUUCAAUCGAUCCAUUUUGUCAAUUCAUAAUCAAUUUUGAAUAAAUCAAUUCAUUGGAGCCAAUUUACCCUUUUAGGGUGAUUUGGUCGAUUUUUGCAUAAAUCAUCAAUCUCCAUUUUAUUCAUUGGACCAAUUUACUCAUUUCUUAGGUCAAUUCAAUCAAUUUUGAAUAAGUCAUCCGAUUUCAUUUGACUAGUUUACCCUUUUUAGGGUGAUCUAGUCAAUUUUGAAUCAAUCAUUCGAUCCAUUGGACCGAUUUGCCUAGUUUUAGGGCGAGUUGGUCAAAUCAUCAUUUCACUCGAUCUGUUUGAUCAAUUGACUUCAUUCAAUUCAUUUGAUUAGUUUAAUUCAUUCUUAGGGUUAUCCAUUCAAUUUUGAAUAAAUGCAUUUGACCAUUUUACCCUUUUUGAAGGCGAUUCGGUCGAUUUUUGAAUAAUCAUCCAUUUUAUCCAAUCCAUUUUGUCAAUUCAUUCAUCAUUUGACCAAUUCAUUUGACCAAUUUACCCUUUUUAGGGUCAUCAGGUCGAUUUUGAAUAAAUCGUCAAUUCAUUUGACCAAUUUACCCUUUUUAGGGUCAUCAGGUCGAUUUUGAAUAAAUCGUCAAUUCAUUUGACCAAUUUCCCUUUUUAGGGUCAUCCGGUCGAUUUUAAUAAAUUGUCAAUUUCAUUUGAUCAAUUAGGUUUCAAUGUCGAAUUUCAAAAUGGAAAACCUAGUCGAUUUUGAGAAAACAUCCAUUGCAUCCAGCCAUUUGAUCAGUUGGAGUUUUGACCCGUGCUCACUGAGAAAAGUUGUCAAAACGAAUUCCAAUCUCUUCGAUAGGAAGUUCGUCAAGGUCAAACCCGUACGUUUUUCAAAAUUCUUGUAUCGAUCAAAAGUGAUCAAUCCCUUCGGACGAGGUCCUCAUUUUGACAACGUCUCUUCUCAUUCCAAUGGGCCAAAUUUUUAAAAUUAUUUUUCACUCAUGAGUUGAUCGGAUCCAUCAGGUAUGUAUAGUGCCUACUCUAGAGGAUUGCAUUUUCAUGCUAGGCCUACCCUUGGCACAAAAAGGGUUCCCCCAUAGGACAUGCAUACCGAUUUUGCAGUUUUGCCUACUAACUCUGGGUAUUUUUUUUUUUGUUUUCCCCCUCCCUGCAUUCAUAAAAAUGUUUCAAUAAGACGAAAAUAUUCUUCUAUAUCUGAUGAUAAUUUUAAUCCAAUAAAGUUUGAAGAUUACAAGUGUUAUUUGAUUCUGGGCAGAUCCUACAAUGAAAACAUAAAUGAUCUAUCUGGAAGCUCUACGCUAAAGCCUCUGAGAGAUUUUGUAAUUGUUUUCCAAAGGGAAAUUUGUAUAUUUGAUUUGUUAAUACAUUUUGUUCAAAAGAAAAGGAGACAAAAAGUGUAUAUGUGGAGCUCUUUACAAGUUUCUCUCUUCUCAUUUGUAUCGUAAUUGAAUGAGAAAUUUUGUUUCAAACUUUUUCAGUAAUAAAAUUUUUGGACAAUCAUUGUUUUGUGUAUAUUUAUGUACAUUUCAUUCUUUAUUCUUACUCAUUGGAGAUUUCAUGAUGAAUUUUGAAAAUAAAACUAAGUUGAGAUUUUUUCAACCUCCAGCCUGAAUUUCACAAGUGUAUACUCUCCUAAAAUCCUUACACUCGAUUGGCAAUCCGAGCCAUACAAUAAGAGUGAUCAGGAAAAGAGGUGAAUGGUCACUCAAAAGGCCAAUGAGAUACCUUCACUUAACCCCAAAAUAAAACAGUCACAUUGAUUGAUAAAUUGCAAAUUGGGGCCAUCUUUGCUUGAAAAUAUCCAUUGUGUUUAACCGAUUCAAUUCACAUCUAAGUGAAAGCAAAAAUGUGCAUUAUUCUUGUUUGUUUUGAAAAGUUGGAAUGAUACUUUGAGCAGUCUUUUCUCUAUCUAUACAGAGUUUAUCAUUUGCUCUCCCGUUUGAUCCUUUAAAAGAAUAAUUUCGUUUCAAAUAAGCGCCUUGAUGAUCACUACCCUACAUGGAAAAUUGUUAAAUAUCAAAAGGGAGUGGAUUUUCAAUGAGCAUUGCGUUACUCUGAUUGUCAUGAGGUGUAAGAAUGAUACUUUGGCCAUCAUUUAUACGACCUAAACACCAUUUAUCCCUUGCAUCCUCAUUUGAGCCAAAAAAAAAAUUUGGUGGUUCUUUUCGAGUGCACAUAUGAUCGCACCCCACAUUGGGGAAGGAGAUUGGGGAAUUUUGAAAAAGGAAAAAAAAGAAAAAGGGGAAAGGGAACCGCAGAUUGGAAAAAUUUGAUUCCACUUGGGUUCCAAUUUUGAAAAGAAGAAAAGGAAGAGAUUUAUCCGCACGGACCGCCUAUGUGUCACAAAUAUGGAUGAAUAAGGGUCUUCCUCAGUCAGUAAUUCAGAUACAUGCAAAAAAUUUCGCAUUAACGAAAGUUUCCUUUCAGAGUUAUUGUAAGGGACGGAACAAAGGUCAGGCCCUCUUCUUUUUCCAAUCAAACAUUCUAUCCCUAGUUAUCCCUUUUGAGCCAUCAGAAUAAAAUAUUCAUUUGGCAACCCCUGAGAAUCGCAAACCCCACACUGGGGCAAGUUGGAGUUGAAAAGGAAAAUUUCAAGAAGUGAAAAGUGACAAUGCCGCAAAAUCAAAAGAAAAGAAAAAAGAGAACCUCAGUACAAAAGUAAACUGGGGUAAAUUUUGUGAAAGUUCAAAAGAAUGGCAAAAGCUGAAAAAUCAAAAAAGAAAGAAAAUGAAAGAGAAAAAGCCUCAAUUGAGCAUAAACUGGGGCAAAAUUUUGAUUUAACCCUAAAAUAGGGUUGGCACAACAAUGCGAUCUCAGAUUACUUAAACCAUUCUUGAAAUCUGCUUUCAAGCCUUAACUCUUCUAAACACCCCACCUGACCCCAUUACAAAAGCCGAAAGUCCUGACUUCUGUUCUUUGCAAUGGCCCUGUCAAGAAAAUUUCUGAUGUCGAGAAAUUUUAGCUGUAUUUCUGAAUUGCUUGGGUAUGGGGUUGACGCUACUCACCAAGUGAAAACCCACCAAAUUGAGGGAAAGGAAAAGAGGCAAAAAGCAAAGCAAGAAAAGUAAAUGCAAGAAGAUGGCAGAAAAAUUCGACGCUGAAGUCCCUGGGAAUGAUGAGAAAAUCCAAACAAAGUCUGAAAUCUUUGAGUUCAAAAUAGGGGCAAUUUUGGAAAAAUGCGAUUUUUGGUGCGAUAUCCUUGAAAGAUUUAUUCUUUAGCUAUCGUUUUCAAGCCAAAUUACAAGCUAAUAAAGUCCAUCGUUGACUUAUUCCUUCAUGACAAUCCAAAGUGAGAAUCAUGCUCAUAAGAAAUUCAUCAGAUCAUUUGUGAUCAUAAGGGUAUAACCCGUUUCCACAUGUUUAGCUAUCACUUCUGUCCAUACGUUACAAGCCUAGAAAGCUUGUAUGUUGACUAAGUUUUCUUAAAAAUAAGAAUGGACAAACUCUUUGCUUUCACUAAGAUGUGACAUUGAAUGGAUUAUAUACAAUUUUGGACACAAGAACAAGACAAAUCUUGACCUCUCAUUUUCUUUAGCCACCUCAGAAUCAGAAAUAAAGUCACUUGAUUGGUCCUGACAGAUGAGCCAACAAGAAAUGGUGACCCAUUACCUAAAGCAUUGAUGCUAGAGUGGAGAAGAAAUCUUUCGUAAUUUGGCAUUAUUUUGAGAAAUUCAUCAUAAAAUGUGCUAUAUCAGUUUAAGCAAGACAUUCAAUUUUCUUCACAUGAUAUGUUAGGAAAAGCAAUUGCUUACCCUGCUCAAAUAAAUGGAGUGUCAUCUAAACAAAUUUUUUGCAAUUGAAUAAGCCCACGCUGGGGCAAAUUUUCAUUUGAGGGAUUUUACAAAAUAGGCCCAUAAUGGGGCAAAUUUUCAUUUACAAGAUUUCGCAAAUUGUGCCCACACUGGGGCAAAUUUUUAUUCAUGGGCUUUCACAGAAUAAGCCCACACUGGGGCAAAAUUUUUAUAGUUCAUUUGAGGAUUUCGUCCAAGAAUCAAAUAAUGCAUUUUUCAAAUCAAUCACGCUGUUUCUUUUCAUGAAAUUCAAGUGCAUGUCAUAUUUUGGUAAGCCCUGUUCAGGUAUUCAUAGUUGAAAUCGACGAAGGAGCAUCUGGUGAUGUGGAAAGCAGACGCCGAAGAAAGAAAAGAAAGAAGGGAAAAAGGGACCCUACACUGAGGGCAAUUUAUUUUGAAAAAGAUUUUCUCGAAAAAUCAGAAAAUUCAAAAUUCAAAAAAUCAAAAAUCAAGUUCAAAUUCUUGUUUCUUGGAAAAUCAAAUUUCUUGUUUCUUGACAAUCACACUUAAUUUCUUGACCAAUUGAGUGGCAGGACUGGGUCUUAUCCCACUGGCCAUUCACAAAUAUCACAUUGGGCCUGGACUUCGUGCCGCCAACCUUCCAAAAAUCAAGUUGGGCCUGGAUUUCGUGCCGCCAACCUCCAAAAAUCACGUUGGGCCGGGAUUUCGUGCCGCCAACAUCACAAAUCACGUCGGGCCUGGACUUUGUGCCGCCGACAUCCUAUUGAGUCUGAAAUUUGUGCCGCCAGUGCAACCAAGGCAGGCUUGGGUGUAAUCCCACUAAUCAAUUCAUCAUACUGGGGCAAAUUAUUUUGGGAAGUUUUUCAAAAAAUCAAAAAAAAAUCAAAAAAAAUCAAAAAAUCAAAAAAAUCAAAAAACCAAAAAAAAUCAGGAAAAAAAAGAAGAAAAGAAAAGAAUCAAAAUCAAAAUCAAAUCAAGUUUCAUCACGACAGGUUUGGGCUUAAUCCCACUGACCGAUUGUCAAAGCAUUUUCGGGUCAGUCCCAUGAUUAAAAGCAUUUUCGGGUCAGUUCCAUGAUCAAAAGUUUAUUCGGGUCAGUCCCACGAUUCAAAGUUUAUUCGGGUCAGUCCCGUGAUUCAAAGCCUGUUCGGGUCAGUCCCGCGAUUAAAAUCUUAUUCGGGUCAGUCCCACGAUCAAAAGCAUUUUCGGGUCAGUCCCAGGAUUCAAAGCUUAUUCGGGUCAGUCCCACGAUUCAAAGUUUAUUCGGGUCAGUCCCGUGAUUCAAAGCCUGUUCGGGUCAGUCCCGCGAUUAAAAGCUUAUUCGGGUCAGUCCGCGAUUAAAAUCUUAUUCGGGUCAGUCCCACGAUUCAAAGCUUAUUCGGGUCAGUCCCACGAUUCAAAGCUUAUGCGGGUCAGACCCACAAUUCAAAGCCUGUUCGGGUCAGUCCUGCGAUUCAAAGCUUAUUCGGGUCAGUCCGCGAUUAAAGCUUGUUCGGGCCAGUCCCAUGAUUUGAAUGUCCCGCUCUAGUCAGUCCCAAUUUUAAUUUUUCUGUUCGGGUCAGUCCCGUUUAAAUUCUUGUUCGGGUCAGUCCCGUUUAAAUUCUGUUCGGGUCAGUCCCGUUUAAAUUCUUGUUCGGGUCAGUCCCGUUUAAGUCCAGUUUGGGUCAGUCCCGUUUAAAAAUUCUGUUCGGGUCAGUCCCGUUUAAAUUCCUGUUCGGGUCAGUCCCGUUUAAAUUUCUGUUCGGGUCAGUCCCGUUUAAAUUCCUGUUCGGGUCAAUCCCGUUUAAAUGUCUGUUCGGGUCAGUCCCGUUUUAAUUUUUGUUCGGGUCAGUCCCGUUUAAAUUCUGGUUCGGGUCAGUCCCGUUUAAAUUUCUGUUCGGGUCAGUCCCGUUUUAAAAAAUUUCUGUUCGUGUCAGUCCCGUUUUAAAUUUCUGUUCGGGUCAGUCCCGUUUAAAAUUCUGUUCGGGUCAGUCCCGUUUAAAUUCCUGUUCGGGUCAGUCCCGUUUAAAUGUCUGUUCGGGUCAGUCCCGUUUUAAUUUUUGUUCGGGUCAGUCCCGUUUUAAUUCUGGUUCGGGUCAGUCCCGUUUAAAUUUCUGUUCGGGUCAGUCCCGUUUAAAUUCUGUUCGGGUCAGUCCCGUUUAAUUUCUGUUCGGGUCAGUCCCGUUUAAAUUCUUGUUCGGGUCAGUCCCGUUUUAAAUUUCUGUUCGGGUCAGUCCCGUUUAAAUUCUGUUCGGGUCAGUCCCGUUUAAAUUCCUGUUCGGGUCAGUCCCGUUUAAAUUUCUGUCUCGGGUCAGUCCCGAUUUUAAAAUUUCCUGUCAGGGUCAGUCCCCAUCGUUUGAGUAAUUCGCAGCCGAAUAAUGCAGGUAAGUAUUUGGUGUCUACUUCUUUGUCUCAAGUUUUUCCAAAACUCAGACAAAGAGGGGCAAACUGUAGACACCAAAUUUUUGGUGUUUUAUUAUUUAUUUAUUUACUAUUCGUUUUUUAUUUGUUCUAUUUUAUUUGUCACAAUUAGUUUUUAGUUUUAGUUAUUUUAGCCAUUUUAGCGUAGAAUGUCUCGAAAAAAAGAAGGAAAAGAAAAAGCUUUAAAAAAAAAUGCUUUAGUUGUUUUGAUUUAAAUUCAAUGUUUUCUUGAAAAAUAAAAAAAUAUAUAUAUAAAAAAAAAGAGAGAAAAUUGUUCGCUAAAAUGUGUUUAUUUCUUUUAAAUUCAAUUUUGUAGCGUUUCUUUUAAAAAAACAUUUCAUUACGUGUUAAAAAAUGAAAAAAGAAGAGACAGGCUCAUGGACCAUGAGAAGUGUAGGAUUAUAACCUUUCCUCAUUGUUUCUUUUCGGCAAAACGCAGAUACAAAAAUUGUUUCUUAGCUCAUUUGCCGGUUUUCCCUUCAUUUUAUUUUACUCCGUUUGAUCACUCCACUUGGCCCUCAUCUGUCAUUUAAGAAAAAGCUGGAAGUUGAAGAUGAUCGGAUGGUCGAGGAAAUGCGGUGAGAUGAGAUUUGCUAAGGGCCUUUGAUAUCAGGUUUUUGGAGGGUUUAGCCAUUCGGGAGGAGGAUAAAAGGAAAAAGAAAGGGACCAGAGUGAGGGGAGUUUUUUGGAGUUGACGGCUAAAGAGGCUCUGGGACGGCUAAGAAAAGAAAAACCAGAGGAGGAAAGAGCAACGGGGAAAUCUGGGCAGUAGCUACAGCUUGCAGCUGGAAAGGAGAACAAAAGGAAGUAAGAAAAGGGGAAUCUGAGAACUUGAGAGGAAGGAAGAAACAGAGGAGAGGGGGAGACGGAUAUAGAGGAGCAGGCCAUUCAUAAGAGCUGCGGGCCAGGAGCAAGAAGAAAAAAGGCCGUGACUGAAGCCGCCGCUGCCACCAUCGGAAUUGUCCAGCGUCACCUGCAAAUUUUCGUCAAGCAAAAGCACGGCUUUUGGUUUGGGCUAGAGAGGAAAACCGCUGCCGGCCCAGACUUUUCCUCAACGGCGUCUGCCCAAGCCACCUCCAGGCCGCACCCGUCGUUGUUGCUGUCCGCCAUCGCCACCUUCCAACUCCCGCUGCCAUCGCUGCCACCGUAGCCAUCGGAGCAGUAGAGGCUUCUACUACCACCUCUCUGUCAAUCCAUCACCACCGCUUGCAAGUGUCACCAAGAAAACCCUGGGCAAGGUUUGGCUGGACCCCAGUGAAAGCAACGAAAUCUCCGUGGCCAAUUCCAGAAUGAAGGUGACGAAGGGAAAGGGACGACAGUCUGGAUACGGUAAACUGUCUUUUUCCUUUCGAAUUUCAGUUUUUUCUUCAAAAGCUCCCGGAACCUGCCCAUGCCUUGGUUUGUAGCAAUUUCUUGUCAACUAUCUGAGAAUUUUGAGUAUGUAUGUUAUACAUGAUGAUUGGAAUUGAAAUCCUGGGUUCUCUGACAAAUUUUGUGGGCCGAUUCUAGCUUCAAUAGAGUAAAGAAUUGAUAAAAUUUUUAAUACCUUUAACAUGUUUGAUGAAAUGCUUGAGUGAAAAUUAUAUUAGAUGGUUGAAUCGUCUGCAUUUUGCUACGUGAAAAAUGAUGAAUAGAAAACAAGAGCAGUAUUUAUUAGAACGUAAUAGUUGCUUUUCAUGGCAGAAAUGGGAGUUUCGAUCUUGAUAUACUUGUGUGCGGCACCUUCUCCGUUUUUUUUUCUGUUUCUUGAUUCUUCCCUUGGUAUGAAUUCAGUUAUGUCGUGAGUUUGUGUGUAAGGAAGUUUGGGUGAGCUUCGUUUUAUUUUGGAGGGAAGCCAGGGGAAUUGAAGUGGAACUUUCUGAUAUUUUUAUGCUGUGUAGAAAGGAUAAAUGGCCACUGAUGUUCUUUGGAAUUUUCGAUGUUUAAUAUUCAUGAUUGGAUUUUGAUCAAUCCAGAGAGGUCUGAGUUUGUUAGAGGGUUUUGUUCACUUGGAAAUCUGUUCCAUGUAGUUCCUGGGAUGAGUUACAAAUGAAAGAAUGCAGAAGAAUGCUUGCUUCGAUGCUUGGCAUGCAUGUUGCCAUCUUAUUCCUUUCCUUUGUUGUUGUGCUUAUUGUUGUGCAAACACUUAAGUAGCCCAGAUUUGCUGUUGUCAAAUUGGAUUCACUGUAAUUGUCUUCCUUUAGCACCAUUGCUGCAUUUUUAUGUCUAGAUUGAUUAUGAUAUGAUCAGGUUUUAAUGUUUUUUUAGUUACCUUAUUAUUUUGAUGGGUUUAACAAAAAUUAGUUUGGAAUUGGAUUAGGUUUAUUUUGAUUGGAGUCUUGAUGGUGUUUGUUUGUUUGGAUUGGGUGUUGUUUUGCUUAUUUCCUGAGCUAGUAAUUUGGUUUGGGAGUUAAAAGCCCAUGCAUUUUGUUGGGUUUUUACUUGAUAAAAAUAAUGGGCUGGCCAUUUCAUUUGCUUUGGAUUUUCAAAUGGACCUGGAAAGCUUCAGCCCAGAAAGUAGACAAAAGUUGGCCCAGUGGCCUUGUCUCUUAAGAAACCAGAAAAUGAUUUUGCAAAUCAGUCCCUGAAUUUCUCCUUAACUAUACUAUGGCCCUAGACAUUUUUCACUUCUUUCAAUUGGGUCCCUAACUUAAUUGCAAAUGGGCCCUAGACUUUAUUUUAUUUUGACCUCAAAGCUUUGUUAAUUUGCAAUCAAAUCCUUUCUUCUUUUGAUUUCUUAAAUGUGGGUUGUCUACAUGAUUUAAUUGAUUCAAUUUCAUGUUUACUUUUAUCUUUUUGUGAUUAUUUCUGGAUUAAAGUGAUGCCUUGACUCUUUUAUUAUUUUGGAGGGUAAAUUAGUAACUUCACUACGUUAGGGCGUCGAUUCAAGGGAGGUACAUUCUACCCCUUAUAUUUGCACUUCAUUUGACCCUACGUGCUCCUACGUGUUAUGUGAAUAUGCAUGUCUACUUCGCUUUUCUUGCCUUCCCUUAAUUCCUUGCAUUUAUUUCAUCUACUUUUACUUUUAUUUAAGUUAUUCAUUAUGGGGUAUGUGUACACCUCUUGGCUUGUAAUAGAUAGGGCUUGGCGAGCUUUCUUGUCCAUUUUCCCUUUCCCCCCCUUUGUUUUAGUUUAGCAAAUGUAAUAAGUUCAUUGCUUGCUUUCGUUGCUACGUGUUUAAUCGCUUUAUUAGGUCCUUGCAUCUAGUCAAGCAUGCUAAGUGUUAUGUGCUACGUGUUUAUAAGUGAUUCGCAUGUCUACUCGCUUUUUAUAGUCAUGAAUGAAUGUGAUGAUGAAUGGACGUCACCACACUAGUCCAAUGCUAGUUGUGGUCCCCUUUCCCGUCACCACACUAGUCCAACGCUAGUUGUGGUUCAUUGUUCCGUUUCCACUAGUCCAAUGCUAGUCGGAAUUCAUAGAAUGGCUAGUCCAACGCUAGACCCUUAGGGAUUUCCCCUCGUUAGUACAUGUUUGCAUGUUCAUCACAUGUCAUGCAUUCUUUUUAGUUUUAUCAUUUUUGCAUGCCCCUCGAACCCCUUUUCCCUCAAUUUUAGGACUUUUGCAUUUCAUGCUAGCUAUAGGGUUCAUUUGCUUGAGAGUCCCCUUAAAUAUGGAAUAUAGACGAGUGUGGCUUUUUCUAAGCCUUAGCACGCUUGUAUUCCCUCUACAAAGGGCAAAUUGAGUCACGAUUUAGGUCUCCCCGUACCCAAUAUGCAUACAUUCCCUAGGUUCAUGCAUCCACUCCACCAUUUUAUACCCUCAUCACACUUUCAUUUUUCCCCAUUUUGCACACGUACACCUUUAUGUUUCUUCAUUUGCACACGUGCAUCUCUUUAUCCCUUCACUUGCACACUAACACUUUUUUAUCAUCACUUGCACACAUACACUUCAUAUUACCAUUGCACAUACCAUACCUUGCCCACUCACGUGCACAUUUUCACUUAUGCAUCUUUGUUUUUUAUUACUUUUUUCAAACUCAUGCCUUCACAUUGCAUACAUGCAUUCCCUUCAUUUGCAUCCCACUCGCAUUAUUCGUGACUUCUUCAAAGGAUCGUUAUUGGGCUUCACAAUUAAUGUGAGUGGCACCACUCAACCUUUGAAGGGAAAUUUCCCCCAAUACCCCUAGGUCUAGGGUUUGCAUUCAUGUAGUGCAUCCAAAUGUAAUAAAUUCUUUGGUUAAAACAAGAAAAUCUUUGAUUAAAUCACGCAACCAGCCUUGGCUAGGUCAAAGGGGUGCCUUGGAUUUUUAUCCUUGCCUUCCCCUUCGUCAAAUGUGACUCCCGAACCUUUUUCUUUGUUUGCGUGGACUAGGAGUCGUUCAAAAGGGUUUCUUACUUUUUUCCUUAAAAAAUUCACUUUUUGGGUGACUUGGUACACCCUAACUCUAUACCAAGUGGCGACUCCAUUUUUCAUAUAAAAAACCCUUUUUGGACUAUUUUUCUUGGGUCAAAUCGUCGCAUUUUCAAAAGUCCCAUUUAGACCAUUUUUCUUUUAAAUCACGAUUCAUUUUCCAAUCACAAAAAAAAAAAAAAAA
RNAcentral lists this long non-coding RNA (12919 nucleotides) under Coffea arabica (coffee). RNAcentral describes it as "long non-coding RNA (CARA_LNC008197)". Lineage: Eukaryota; Viridiplantae; Streptophyta; Magnoliopsida; Gentianales; Rubiaceae. The record is from RNAcentral.